RNAcentral lists this long non-coding RNA (211 nucleotides) under Mytilus galloprovincialis (Mediterranean mussel). Lineage: Eukaryota; Metazoa; Mollusca; Bivalvia; Mytilida; Mytilidae. The record is from RNAcentral.
CACGCCAUCUUUGAAUGCUGCCCGUUACCAUGGCAACCAGAUGGAGGGUUCUGAGACACCAGAAAUUAAAACUUUGGAUGAUAUUAGGGAUGAUAAAAAUAAGUUCUGGGUAUGAAAGUUUCUAGACAAAAAUUCUAAAUAAUUUCAAAUUUCAUUGAUUUUUAUAUGAAUAAAUAGCCGAUUUACUCUCGAACAGCAUUAACCUACCUGC